RNAcentral lists this ribosomal RNA (255 nucleotides) under uncultured bacterium. Its description in RNAcentral is "partial 16S ribosomal RNA". It matches the Rfam family "Bacterial small subunit ribosomal RNA", at positions 524 to 776 of the family's 1533-position model. The record is from RNAcentral.
UACGUAGGGAGCAAGCGUUGUCCGGAUUUAUUGGGCGUAAAGAGCUCGUAGGCGGCUUAGCAAGUCAAGUGUGAAACCUCCAGGCUUAACCUGGAGACGCCACUUGAUACUGCUAUGGCUUGAGUUUGGUAGGGGAAGACGGAAUUCCUGGUGUAGCGGUGAAAUGCGCAGAUAUCAGAGAGGAACACCGAUGGCGAAGGCAGUCUUCUGGGCCAAAACUGACGCUGAGGAGCGAAAGCGUGGGGAGCGAACAGG